ACUCACCAACUAGUCAUGCGCCUCGGAUGCCGCCGGCCACGGGGCUCCCGGAGGGGGGUCCGACACCGCCCGGUGCCCGGGAUCCCCAAUCUGGCCGGUGGAUGAGGCCCCAUCCCAUGCACCCGAGUGCGGGGGACGGGGGGGUUAAUAUUAAUUCAGGAUCCCAUCCCCACCCGAGGCAGGACACCCAGUGCACGCCCCAACUCCGGGACGCGGGCUCUGACCCUGGAACUUCCGAGAUUCCCGCGACGCCCCCUGUCUCUGGGUCCAGAACUUCGGGGGACACCUCUUCUGCCUCCUCCAACCCCAGAGAUGGGGUGUCACUAUGUUGCCCAGGCUGGUCUCCAACUCCUGGACUCAAGAGAUCUGCCUGCCUCAGCCUCUCAAAGGGCUGGGAUAACAGAUGUAAGCCACUGCAUCUGGCCUCCAAUGAGUUGUUAUGUGAAGAGAACGUGAUUAAGUUAGAGGACUCCAACCAGGCCUGAACUCUCAAGGACAGAAAUGGGUCCAACCUGGCAUGACAUCCUCUAAAUCUUUAGCUCCUGGCCUCUCAGGUGCCCCCUCCAGCUACCUCCCUCUUCCUUCUCUUCAUUCCCCAAGCCAUAGCUGGUUGGGCCAACCUCCAGACAUUAGCCUCUUUGCAAACUCCUAUUCAUCCCUCAAAGCCUCACCUUCAAUGCUCUCCUCCCCAAGAAGCUCUCUCCUCUACCUCUAGACCUUUUCCAGCCCUCUUCCCUCUUUCUGGCCCAGCCCUGACUCCUGGGAGUGUCUGUGUGCAGCUUUGACUCCCCCAGCCUGAGUGUCUCUCAAGGGCUGAGACCAGGGCCCAUGUUUCCCUAGAGUUUGUCAUCUUCCAGCAUAGUGUGGACGCAUGGGGGUCAGGCAAAGGGGGAGUUUGAUGACUCAGUACUAUUGGUGAUUUUGCAUCACUUGAAGGAGACCCUGCCUUAAAUUCAGAACUUGA
This 964-nucleotide long non-coding RNA is filed under the name Homo sapiens (human). RNAcentral describes it as "non-protein coding HOMER3-AS1:8". The record is from RNAcentral. Lineage: Eukaryota; Metazoa; Chordata; Mammalia; Primates; Hominidae.